GAAUUUUCCACAAUGGACGAAAGUCUGAUGGAGCAACGCCGCGUGCAGGAUGAAUGCCUUAGGGUUGUAAACUGCUUUUAUUAGUGACGAAUAUGACGGUAACUAAUGAAUAAGGACCUGCUAACUACGUGCCAGCAGCCGCGGUCAUACGUAGGGUCCAAGCGUUAUCCGGAAUUACUGGGCGUAAAGAGUUGCGUAGGUGGCAUAGUAAGUAGAUAGUGAAAGCGUGUGGCUCAACCAUACAUCCAUUAUCUAAACUGCUAAGCUAGAAGAUGAGAGAGGUAGAUGGAAUUCCUGAUGUAGGGGUAAUAUCCGUAGAUAUCAGGAGGAACACCGAUGGCGUAAGCAGUCUACUGGCUCAUUCUUGACACUAAGGCACGAAAGCGUGGGUAGCAAACAGG
This 401-nucleotide ribosomal RNA is filed under the name uncultured bacterium. RNAcentral's name for it is "bacterial SSU rRNA". It matches the Rfam family "Bacterial small subunit ribosomal RNA", at positions 359 to 776 of the family's 1533-position model. The record is from RNAcentral.